GAGGGAGCGGCAGACGGGUGAGUAACGCGUGGGAAUCUACCUAUCUCUAGGGAAUAACUCAGGGAAACUUGUGCUAAUACCCUAUACGUCCGUAAGGAGAAAGAUUUAUCGGAGAUAGAUGAGCCCGCGUUGGAUUAGCUAGUUGGUGGGGUAAAGGCCUACCAAGGCGACGAUCCAUAGCUGGUCUGAGAGGAUGAUCAGCCACACUGGGACUGAGACACGGCCCAGACUCCUACGGGAGGCAGCAGUGGGGAAUAUUGGACAAUGGGCGCAAGCCUGAUCCAGCCAUGCCGCGUGAGUGAUGAAGGCCCUAGGGUUGUAAAGCUCUUUCACCGGUGAAGAUAAUGACGGUAACCGGAGAAGAAGCCCCGGCUAACUUCGUGCCAGCAGCCGCGGUAAUACGAAGGGGGCUAGCGUUGUUCGGAUUUACUGGGCGUAAAGCGCACGUAGGCGGAUUGGUCAGUUAGGGGUGAAAUCCCAGGGCUUAACCCUGGAACUGCCUUUAAUACUGCCAGUCUUGAGUAUGGAAGAGGUGAGUGGAAUUGCGAGUGUAGAGGUGAAAUUCGUAGAUAUUCGCAGGAACACCAGUGGCGAAGGCGGCUCACUGGUCCAUUACUGAC
RNAcentral lists this ribosomal RNA (620 nucleotides) under Paenochrobactrum glaciei. RNAcentral describes it as "bacterial SSU rRNA". It matches the Rfam family "Bacterial small subunit ribosomal RNA", at positions 89 to 744 of the family's 1533-position model. Lineage: Bacteria; Pseudomonadati; Pseudomonadota; Alphaproteobacteria; Hyphomicrobiales; Brucellaceae. The record is from RNAcentral. RNAcentral also lists the same sequence under 1 other name.